UCUCACCCCUUUGUGCACAACCGCGUGAGUUCCCCUGGAAGGGGGGGCCCACGUUUUUUUUCACACAAACCUUAAAGCAGUGUAGAAUGUAUUUUCUUUUUGCGGUGAUACGCGAUCAAUACAACUUUCAACAACGGAUCUCUUGGCUCUCGCAUCGAUGAAGAACGUAGCGAAAUGCGAUAUGUAAUGUGAAUUGCAGAAUUCAGUGAAUCAUCGAAUCUUUGAACGCACCUUGCGCCCCUUGGCAUUCCGAGGGGCACACCCGUUUGAGUGUCGUGAAAUCAUCAAAACCCUUUCUUUGAUCCUUUUGGUCGAGAAUGGGAUUUUGGACUUGGAGGAUCAAUGCUCGCUCUCACUUUCUCGAAAGUGAGCUCCUCUCAAAUAAAUUAGUGGGGGUUUGCUUCGCCGAUCCUUGACGUGAUAAGUUGUUUCUACGUUUUGGAUUUGGUUGAACACCUGCUUCUAACCGUCCUAUGGACGACGAUGGUGUUCCGGUCACCUGGACCCAUAAGAAAACCUUGACCUCAAAUCGGGUGAGACUACCCGCUGA
Molecule: ribosomal RNA, 550 nt
Filed under: uncultured fungus
Lineage: Eukaryota; Fungi
Description: eukaryotic LSU rRNA
Rfam family: 5.8S ribosomal RNA (bases 123-276)
Source: RNAcentral